RNAcentral lists this ribosomal RNA (276 nucleotides) under uncultured prokaryote. RNAcentral's name for it is "partial 16S ribosomal RNA". It matches the Rfam family "Bacterial small subunit ribosomal RNA", at positions 524 to 800 of the family's 1533-position model. The record is from RNAcentral.
UACGUAGGGGGCUAGCGUUAUCCGGAAUUACUGGGCGUAAAGGGUGCGUAGGUGGUUUCUUAAGUCAGAGGUGAAAGGCUACGGCUCAACCGUAGUAAGCCUUUGAAACUGAGAAACUUGAGUGCAGGAGAGGAGAGUAGAAUUCCUAGUGUAGCGGUGAAAUGCGUAGAUAUUAGGAGGAAUACCAGUUGCGAAGGCGGCUCUCUGGACUGUAACUGACACUGAGGCACGAAAGCGUGGGGAGCAAACAGGAUUAGAUACCCGCGUAGUCCCUGA